UCUAACUACGAAAAUGUGAAAGACUCUGUGGUGUCUUAUUUCGAGUUCACAUGGAUGUAUGUGACAAGUACUUGUGGUUGACUUCUUUUGACAACAUUUUCAUUUACAAUAUGAUUGUCAUAUUGAACGGGAUUGGUUAUCAUCAAAAGUAUCUAUGUCAACUUCAGAUGAUGGAACAGAAUCAUCAAUGUGGAAUUUGAAGUUAAAACUGGAGUCCGUCAAGGCUGUGUAAUGUCGCCAACACCCUUCAUUAUCACAAAAGACUAGGUUAAGAGACAUACGAAAUCUGAUAUUUCAAGAGGCUGCCUCAGGCAUGAGAUGGGUAUAUAUACCACAUUUGAGGACCAGGCCCUGGACUUAGCUGAUGAUAUUGCCUGGUUUCCCCACCGGAACAUUCAAUGGAAAAUCAACAGACUGCACAAGGUUAUUGACAUCCCAAUCUUUAGUGGAAAGCUUCCAGAUAUCUUCUGCUAGUGACAGUCUACUAGCAAUCCAGAGAUGCUGAUGUUGAGGACACAGGGGCACCUGAUCCAAGAAUUGUGGCAUUUCAUUCGGAGCAACAACCUGGCAUUCAGUUGGUAUUACUCUUUGAGGUUGAAUAUAAAGUUAAAUCCGUAUACAUUUGGUUAAUAUUCAAAUGAAUUCAUAUAAUACAUUCACAAUGGAAUCAUGGCAUUAUGGUACACUGAUAUGCGUGUACCAUUUUACUGUUUAUCGUUGCAUUACUAGAUAUAACAUGUAAUACAAAAAGGAGACUAAAUACGGAAAAUCAUUAUUCUGUCUCUAAUUAUAAGGUAUAAUAAGUGUUUUAAAUGCUGACAAAUAAGGUAUGAUGGCCAAUACUGAUUAUUUGCAAUUUCAUUUCAAAUAUGGGACCCAAUUAUUCAGAAAACUGCAGAUUUUAUGAAGCUGUUUUUGACAGAAGAUUUGGUUUUCUCCAUCUGUGUUGCCACCAGCCAUUAUGCUGAGAUGGUCAUAUCUUGGGGGAAGGAUUGUCAUAUGUUUCCCAAGGAAGUUCACACCUGUCACUGAAGAGGAACUGUACAGAUUUUUGGGCAUUAUCUGAUGCAUGUCUGCUGAGAAGUUCCAGUCGAUAGAGAGAUAUUGGUCAACGCAUGCCCCUAUCGGAACAACCCAGUAUCAAGAUAUUAUGUCUAGAAAUAGGUUCUAAGAGGUUGAAUAUAAGAAGAACAUUUUUUGUUAAAUAUAAUGCAAGUACAAUUAAAUUUAGUGAUUGAAAGUAAGUACUUGAACAUUCGUAUACAUUGAACUUGAGGAGGAAAAACGGGCAGUACUUUUUCAUAACAUUUGAUAUAAUAAUGGUGUUGUUGCUUAGCAACCAAAUAUAUUUGAAUACAAAAAAAUAGAUUAUUUUAGAUUUUAACAGUAAAGAUCUUUGUUUUAAUGUUGCAAUAUUUAUAAUAUAUAGUGGAACAUUAUGACAAACGUCAUAUUAUUAGAAAAUGAUGAAUAUGUACUAUAUAAAGUACGAAAUUUCCAUUUUAUGACCUUUGACCUUAAUUCUCUUUAUUAUAUUUUUUGUUAAAAACCUUUUAAAAUGAUUAAAAUCUAGUCAAAGAUUAUAUUUUAAAAAUAAUGUGACAUUUACUAAUCAUCAUGCAAUGUAAUUAUGUUUAAAUUGUGUCGAAUGGAUGUAGAAAGGCAAAUUAUGGUCAAAAUUGUAUUAUGUGUAUUGUUACUUAGCAACCAAAAAUAUUUGUUUGUCAAUAAAAUUGAUUAAUUU
Long non-coding RNA from Ostrea edulis (European flat oyster), 1744 nucleotides. RefSeq lists it as uncharacterized. Lineage: Eukaryota; Metazoa; Mollusca; Bivalvia; Ostreida; Ostreidae. The transcript is spliced from 3 exons. The record is from RefSeq and is a predicted model, not a curated record.